UAGCAACUAAAGAUGAACUCUUCCCUGCCC
This 30-nucleotide non-coding RNA is filed under the name Mus musculus (house mouse). Lineage: Eukaryota; Metazoa; Chordata; Mammalia; Rodentia; Muridae. The record is from RNAcentral.